Molecule: non-coding RNA, 82 nt
Organism: Mycena vulgaris
Lineage: Eukaryota; Fungi; Basidiomycota; Agaricomycetes; Agaricales; Mycenaceae
Source: the annotation of a GenBank genome assembly
GACACUUUGGCCGAGUGGUUAAGGCGAUGCCCUGCCAAGGCAUUGGGGUCCCACCGCGUUCUUUGGAAUCGCUCAGAAUUCC